UUUUUUUUUUGGUAGAUUAACUAGCAGGCCUAUUUUAAAAAGGUAAUUCAGCUAAAGGGCAAUUUACUUUUUUGUACUUCAGACUAUCUUGAUUGUCAAAGUGUACGAACUGUAAUUUUAAAAUUUAUACUGCCACAUGAUUGUAAAUUUUAGUUGUCUUAAGUUAGGAAUUGGUGAAAAGCUAUUUAUGCUGGAUUUGGGUCAAAAUGACUUAUUUGCAAAAAAAAAUAAAUAAUGGGAAGAAAGGGCUGCAUAAUGA
This 259-nucleotide long non-coding RNA is filed under the name Homo sapiens (human). Its description in RNAcentral is "lncAB329.1". The record is from RNAcentral. Lineage: Eukaryota; Metazoa; Chordata; Mammalia; Primates; Hominidae.